UACGUAGGUGACAAGCGUUGUCCGGAUUUACUGGGCGUAAAGAGCGCGCAGGCGGUCGUUCAAGUCGAGUGUGAAAGCCCCCGGCUCAACUGGGGAGGGUCACUCGAUACUGAUCGACUCGAAGGCAGGAGAGGGUAGUGGAAUUCCCGGUGUAGUGGUGAAAUGCAUAGAUAUCGGGAGGAACACCAGUGGCGAAGGCGACUACCUGGCCUGUUCUUGACGCUGAGGCGCGAAAGCUAGGGGAGCAAACGGG
This 253-nucleotide ribosomal RNA is filed under the name uncultured bacterium. RNAcentral's name for it is "partial 16S ribosomal RNA". It matches the Rfam family "Bacterial small subunit ribosomal RNA", at positions 524 to 776 of the family's 1533-position model. The record is from RNAcentral.